UACGUAGGGGGCGAGCGUUGUCCGGAUUUAUUGGGCGUAAAAGGCUUGUAGGUGGCCACGGCAAGUCGGAUGUGAAAUCUCCCGGCUCAACUGGGAGGGGUCAUUCGAUACUGCCGGGCUCGAGGCCGGUAGGGGGAAGCGGAAUUCCCGGUGUAGUGGUGGAAUGCGUAGAUAUCGGGAGGAACACCAGAGGCGAAGGCGGCUUCCUGGACCGGUCCUGACACUGAGGAGCGAAAGCGUGGGGAGCGAACAGG
RNAcentral lists this ribosomal RNA (254 nucleotides) under uncultured bacterium. Its description in RNAcentral is "partial 16S ribosomal RNA". It matches the Rfam family "Bacterial small subunit ribosomal RNA", at positions 524 to 776 of the family's 1533-position model. The record is from RNAcentral.